UACGGAGGGUGCAAGCGUUAUCCGGAUUCACUGGGUUUAAAGGGUGCGUAGGUGGGCAAGUAAGUCAGUGGUGAAAUCUCCGGGCUUAACCCGGAAACUGCCAUUGAUACUAUUUGUCUUGAAUACUGUGGAGGUCAGCGGAAUAUGUCAUGUAGCGGUGAAAUGCUUAGAUAUGACAUAGAACACCAAUUGCGAAGGCAGCUGGCUACACAAAUAUUGACACUGAGGCACGAAAGCGUGGGGAUCAAACGGG
This 253-nucleotide ribosomal RNA is filed under the name uncultured bacterium. RNAcentral describes it as "partial 16S ribosomal RNA". It matches the Rfam family "Bacterial small subunit ribosomal RNA", at positions 524 to 776 of the family's 1533-position model. The record is from RNAcentral.